GCAUUCAGAGUGCACAGCUGUACAUUCAGUUCAAAUAGGGCAAGGAUAGGAAUGAGGGGAAAAACUAAAUCUAUAGAACAUUACCACUUACAACGGCCCAGCUAAAUGAGAGUACAGCCAACAUCUACGUAUACAGAAGAGCUAGAGCACCAUCUAGAGGACAAGUUCAAACAAAAAAUCCAUAGGAACUAAAAUCUAUUCUGAUAAUUAGCUCAGACAGAGCCAAAGUCAUCAAGAACAUAGGGAUAAAAUCUAAGGGCACAGAGCCAAAAAUAAAUACAUCUUCCACUCAAAUGGCAUGGCAAUAUACAUGGCAUCAAUAAAGGAGGCUACCAAAAGUAAGAAAAUGAAGAAGAAUAGAAUACAGAGAAGAAUCAAAUAGAAUAAACAUUACAAGUUACCUAUUUCUUGACAGUAAUAGCGGGUCAGUAGAAAGUACCACAGUGUAUAAGUUUAACUCUAAACAGGGUGUGUCAGAUAACCAUAAAGGAUACCUAUAGGUGGCAAAUAUAUACUUGAGUGGAAGCAUUAAAACUAUAAACAGGAGAGGGAUAGAAAAGAGAAAUGUCUUAAUUGUUAAUGGCUUUGCUGUAACCGACAAAACUGUGUUCCCAUUAACAAACGAAUACUGAAUAAACAAUGUGUCCUAAUUAAAAGGGGUUAUAUCAUUUUGCUGUUACUAGGGUGACAUAAGAUUAAGCCAUGACCUCCAGGUGGCAGUACAUGGGAGCUACAGAAACAGCGCAGCACAGCAAGCUAUGCUGUUUCCAUGAUGAAGAGAAUACCACACUUGGUAAGACCUCAGCGCAAAGAGUUUGAUACGAGAAAAUUGAACAUUUCUUACCUCGUCAACUGUCUGGGCUGGGUGAAGUCGGAAGUUGACAGUAGCUCUUGCCGUGUGAGGGAUCACAUUUUCCUGAAUAAAAAUACAUGCAAGCGGUAAGAAACUGGAUGAAACACAUUCCCCACUGUGGUGCCAUAUAUGAGACAGCAGACAGGUAAUGAUACAGAGUUAGGAGUGCUCAUUUCUGCAACAUAUACUUGAUAAUCACCCCCGCCAAUCAGCUGUUAUAUUGUGUUAACUUGGAAAGCGGCGCUAGAGUUACAAGGUAACAACUGAUUGAUUGUUGUAGGGGCAUUGGACCCUUGCAGAUCGGAUAUUGAUGGCCUAGCCUGAGGCCUCCAAUCUCAAAAUCCUGGACAUCCCCUUUUUGGAUAUGUCAUGACUCCUAUAAAAAUAAUGGCAAUGUGGACAAAGUCUUAAAGGGGUAUUCCAGGAAUCAAAACAAUACACAGCAGAUAGCUGAACGACAUCUCUCCUGACCUCCCCAUACACGCUAGGAUGCGUAAGCAUGUAUUCUUAAUGGAAAUUAAUAAGCUGCUGCCAAACACCUUUGACAGUGGCUUGCCUCUCGUGAGAACAAAAGAUCAGGCACAAAGAAAUCCAACACCUGGGCCUUUUUUUCUCAUACAUCAUCUGUCUCAGGAAAGUAGGGCACCUCAUAGACAUUACUUGGUCAGAUGGUCCUGCUAAAAAUGAUGGGUUUGGCCUAAGUGAAUGUGAUAUGUAUCGGCACCUCAACACUUUAGUGUCUAUUCAUUGUUUAUCCAAGCACAGUUUGUCCAUAAGUUAAUUAUUACAAAUUGUAUCCAGUUAUUAAGUAAUCUGCAUAAAAUUUCUGAUGAUUGGCAAACCCUCAUUAUUGGGAAUGGUACACAUUUAGGGUCCAUUCACAAGUCCGCAACUGUUUUGCGGUCCGCAAAACACAGACACCGGCCAUGAGCGUUCUACAUUUUAUGGACUGCACAUGGCUGACAUUAUGAUAGAAAUGCCUUUUCUUGUCCGUGGCUGUGGACAAAAAUAGGACAUGCUUUUGAUUUUUGCAGGUCCGUAGAACAGAAGUGCGGAUGGAGACAACACACAGUGUGCUAUCCGCAUCUUUUGCGGACGCAUUGAAACAAACGGGUCCGCAAAAUUGCGGAACGGAUGCGGACCCAUUAUGUGGAUAUGUGAAUGGACCCUUACUGUAUAUCCUUAAAGUGAAUGGUGGUCGGUGGUUUAAUUUUCCAUGUCACUAUCAAGGUUUUCAAAAAAUCCUAAAACUCAGCAGUUUUUACUCUGGGCACUAAGACUAAUAAUAGACACCACUUCUUGGU
Molecule: long non-coding RNA, 2157 nt
Organism: Bufo gargarizans (Asiatic toad)
Lineage: Eukaryota; Metazoa; Chordata; Amphibia; Anura; Bufonidae
Exons: 3
Source: RefSeq, a predicted model, not a curated record